This is a long non-coding RNA of Ictalurus punctatus (channel catfish), 1131 nucleotides long. The record is from Ensembl. NCBI's taxonomy places the organism in Eukaryota, Metazoa, Chordata, Actinopteri, Siluriformes, Ictaluridae.
GUGAAGUCUCUGAAGACGAGGCAUCCCCUUCAGGCUGGGAGUGUAAUGCACAAGGACUCUGAGGUUUUGGAGGGUUUAUCCUGACGUCUCUGCCGUAGAGGACAUUAUUUUAGAUUUAUGAAUUAUUCUAUUUAUGGGACAUUUUCCUUCAUUUAGUUAUGUUUAUGCAUCCUUUGCCUUUCUCUUCCUCCUCUUUUCAUAUCAUGUUUAACUCUUUCAGGUGUGACUGAAUGUAUUACAGAUCUGAAGUUUGUACAUUUCUAUCUAAUUCUAACCCGUUUUUUUCUUUUCUUUUAAAAAUUUUUUUUUUAAAUAAUCCUCAUCUCCUUAAUUGUCCAUAUCUUUGAGCAUUUGUUCCACAAACUGUAUGAAACAUUAUUAUUGUUAUUAUUAUUAUAUUUCUCCCCCUCUGUCUCUCUCCUCUUUCUCUUGUAUGAUACCAAAACAUGUGAUAAGCCAUAAACGGUAGCAACGACGAGGGCUACUUUCGGAUGCAUCUUUCAUCAGUCGCCUUUUGCAUAUGUUGAAUCUUUCCAUUCCUUUUCUCCUGCACAUGAGACACGCAUGAAGGACGUGUGCUUAGAUGUGUGUGUGUGUGUGUGUGUGUGUGUGUGUGUGUGUGUGUGUGUGUGUGUGUGUGUGUAAAAGUGUGUGCGCGCGCUUCUUCACCGCUGGACCAACCUCACUGUGGCCUAAGCUCCAAUUGCAGUGUCCGAAAAUGGCGUGAUUUGAUCCUCCGGCUAAACUCCACAUCUGAUUAAGCCUUACUUCCUCCCUCUGUUUUAAAAAUUUUUUUUUUAUUAUUUAUUCUGCUUCUCCUCCUUGUGUGAUCACGGCCUUUUAACCUUCUCAAGAGUCAUAUCAAAUAUAAAGGCUGGACUGUAUUAUUAUAACUUUGCUGGGUAAAACUUUUGACUCCCUAAACAGUUUGUACCAUACCGUUCUUUUGUCUUUUUUGGUUGUUUUCAGUCUCUUAUGCACAAUUCCAAUCAUGUGGUGUUCUCUCCAUUGUUUAAAACAUCUCCGAUCUUAUAACAGAAAUGCUGUACAGUCUGAGUACUUAUGAACUAUUUUUUAUCACAGUAUUAUUUAUUGCUUCCUUUCAAUAAAAAAUACUGAUCCCUAUUUUCC